AACGCGAAGAACCUUACCUGGGCUUGACAUGUGGGUGACCGGUGUGGAAACACAUCUUCCCUUCGGGGCACCUUCACAGGUGGUGCAUGGCUGUCGUCAGCUCGUGUCGUGAGAUGUUGGGUUAAGUCCCGCAACGAGCGCAACCCCCGUCGCAUGUUGCCAGCAUUUAGUUGGGGACUCAUGCGAGACUGCCGGUGACAAACCGGAGGAAGGUGGGGAUGACGUCAAGUCAUCAUGCCCCUUAUGUCCAGGGCUACACACGUGCUACAUUGGCGCAUACAGAGGGUUGCGAUACCGCGAGGUGGAGCGAAUCCCUUAAAGUGCGUCUCGGUUCGGAUUGCAGGCUGAAAUUCGCCUGCAUGAAGGCGGAGUUGCUAGUAAUCGCGGAUCAGCACUGCCGCGGUGAAUACGUUCCCGGGCCUUGUA
This 426-nucleotide ribosomal RNA is filed under the name uncultured Actinomycetes bacterium. Its description in RNAcentral is "bacterial SSU rRNA". It matches the Rfam family "Bacterial small subunit ribosomal RNA", at positions 958 to 1385 of the family's 1533-position model. Lineage: Bacteria; Bacillati; Actinomycetota; Actinomycetes. The record is from RNAcentral.